This 433-nucleotide ribosomal RNA is filed under the name uncultured bacterium. RNAcentral's name for it is "partial 16S ribosomal RNA". It matches the Rfam family "Bacterial small subunit ribosomal RNA", at positions 29 to 507 of the family's 1533-position model. The record is from RNAcentral.
AACGAACGCUGGCGGCAUGCCUAACACAUGCAAGUCGAACGAUGCCUUCGGGCAUAGUGGCGCACGGGUGCGUAACGCGUGGGAAUCUGCCUUUCGGUUCGGAAUAACUCAGGGAAACUUGAGCUAAUACCGGAUAACGUCGCAAGACCAAAGAUUUAUCACCGAAAGAUGAGCCCGCGUAGGAUUAGCUAGUUGGUGAGGUAAAGGCUCACCAAGGCGACGAUCCUUAGCUGGUCUGAGAGGAUGAUCAGCCACACUGGGACUGAGACACGGCCCAGACUCCUACGGGAGGCAGCAGUGGGGAAUAUUGGACAAUGGGCGAAAGCCUGAUCCAGCAAUGCCGCGUGAGUGAUGAAGGCCUUAGGGUUGUAAAGCUCUUUUACCCGGGAAGGUAAUGACGGUACCGGGAGAAUAAGCCCCGGCUAACUCCGUG